GAUGAACGCUGACAGAAUGCUUAACACAUGCAAGUCGAUGGGGAAGUGGUGCUUGCACCAUGGUAACCAUGGCGGACGGGUGAGUAACGCGUAAGGAACUUACCUGCGGGACCGGGAUAACAGCAGGCAACUGCUGACAAGACCGGAUAAGGUCAUUAAGCUGCAUAGCUUAGUGAUGAAAGGAGACGCCUGCGGAGAGCCUUGCGUCCUAUUAGCUAGUUGGAGGGGUAACGGCCCACCAAGGCGAAGAUCGGUAGCCGGCCUGAGAGGGUGGACGGCCACGAGGGCACUGAGAUGCGGCCCUGACUCCUACGGGACGCAGCAGUGAGGAAUAUUGGACAAAGGCGGCAACCCUGAUCCAGCAAUUCUGUGUGCACGAAGACGGUUUUCGGAAUGUAAAGUGCUUUCAGCAGGGAAGAAGGAAGUGACGGUACCUGCAGAAGAAGCGACGGCUAAAUACGUG
Molecule: ribosomal RNA, 463 nt
Filed under: uncultured bacterium
Lineage: Bacteria
Description: partial 16S ribosomal RNA
Rfam family: Bacterial small subunit ribosomal RNA
Source: RNAcentral